RNAcentral lists this transfer RNA (92 nucleotides) under Malassezia vespertilionis. It matches the Rfam family "tRNA". Rfam says of the family: Transfer RNA (tRNA) molecules are approximately 80 nucleotides in length. Their secondary structure includes four short double-helical elements and three loops (D, anti-codon, and T loops). Further hydrogen bonds mediate the characteristic L-shaped molecular structure. tRNAs have two regions of fundamental functional importance: the anti-codon, which is responsible for specific mRNA codon recognition, and the 3' end, to which the tRNAs corresponding amino acid is attached (by aminoacyl-tRNA synthetases). tRNAs cope with the degeneracy of the genetic code in two manners: having more than one tRNA (with a specific anti-codon) for a particular amino acid; and 'wobble' base-pairing, i.e. permitting non-standard base-pairing at the 3rd anti-codon position. The record is from Rfam by way of RNAcentral. Lineage: Eukaryota; Fungi; Basidiomycota; Malasseziomycetes; Malasseziales; Malasseziaceae.
GGGCGCGUGGUGGAGUGGUUACCACGUCCGCUUUGCAAUCCACUUUCAAGUGCACUAGCGGUAGGUCGCGGGUUCAAAUCCCGUCGUGUCCA